AUUGAACGCUGGCGGCAGGCCUAGCACAUGCAAGUCGAACGGUAACAGGAAGAAGCUUGCUUCUUUGCUGACGAGUGGCGGACGGGUGAGUAAUGUCUGGGAAACUGCCUGAUGGAGGGGGAUAACUACUGGAAACGGUAGCUAAUACCGCAUAACGUCGCAAGACCAAAGAGGGGGACCUUCGGGCCUCUUGCCAUCGGAUGUGCCCAGAUGGGAUUAGCUAGUAGGUGGGGUAACGGUUCACCUAGGCGACGAUCCCUAGCUGGUCUGAGAGGAUGACCAGCCACACUGGAACUGAGACACGGUCCAGACUCCUACGGGAGGCAGCAGUGGGGAAUAUUGCACAAUGGGCGCAAGCCUGAUGCAGCCAUGCCGCGUGUAUGAAGAAGGCCUUCGGGUUGUAAAGUACUUUCAGCGGGGAGGAAGGGAGUAAAGUUAAUACCUUUGCUCAUUGACGUUACCCGCAGAAGAAGCACCGGCUAACUCCGUG
This 490-nucleotide ribosomal RNA is filed under the name uncultured bacterium. RNAcentral's name for it is "partial 16S ribosomal RNA". It matches the Rfam family "Bacterial small subunit ribosomal RNA", at positions 30 to 507 of the family's 1533-position model. The record is from RNAcentral.